CCCUUAGAUGUCCGGGGCCGCACGCGCGCUACACUGAAGGAAUCAGCGUGGCUUUCUCCCUGACCCGAAAGGGUUGGGAAACCCGUUGAAUCUCCUUCGUGAUAGGGAUUGGGGCUUGAAAUUGUUCCCCAUGAACGAGGAAUUCCCAGUAAGCGCGAGUCAUAAGCUCGCGUUGAUUACGUCCCUGCCCUUUGUACACACCGCCCGUCGCUACUACCGAUUGAGUGAUCCGGUGAAUACUUCGGACUGCAACCGGUGCGGUUUCCGUACCCUUUGCAAAAAGUUGAAUAAACCUUAUCACUUAGAGGAAGGAGAAGUCGUAACA
This 325-nucleotide ribosomal RNA is filed under the name uncultured eukaryote. RNAcentral's name for it is "partial 18S ribosomal RNA". It matches the Rfam family "Eukaryotic small subunit ribosomal RNA", at positions 1470 to 1796 of the family's 1831-position model. The record is from RNAcentral.